RNAcentral lists this ribosomal RNA (398 nucleotides) under Streptomyces sp. IB2014 016-6. RNAcentral describes it as "partial 23S ribosomal RNA". It matches the Rfam family "Bacterial large subunit ribosomal RNA", at positions 1224 to 1523 of the family's 2925-position model. The record is from RNAcentral. Lineage: Bacteria; Bacillati; Actinomycetota; Actinomycetes; Kitasatosporales; Streptomycetaceae.
AUGGGUAGGGGAGCGUCGUGUGCCGGGUGAAGCCUCCGCGGAAGCGAGGGGUGGACGGUUCACGAGUGAGAAUGCAGGCAUGAGUAGCGAUACACACGUGGGAAACGUGUGCGCCGAUUGACUAAGGGUUCCUGGGUCAAGCUGAUCUGCCCAGGGUAAGUCGGGACCUAAGGCGAGGCCGACAGGCGUAGUCGAUGGACAACCGGUUGAUAUUCCGGUACCCGCUUUGAAACGCCCAGUACUGAACCAGGCGAUGCUAAGACCGUGAAGCCGUCCUGGAGCCUUCGGGCAAAGGGAAGUGGUGGAGCCGUCGGACCAGACUUGCAGUAGGUAAGCGAUGGGGUGACGCAGGAAGGUAGUCCAGCCCGGGCGGUGGUUGUCCCGGGGUAAGGGUGUAG